UGGGGAAUAUUGGACAAUGGGCGCAAGCCUGAUCCAGCCAUGCCGCGUGGAUGAUGAAGGCCUUAGGGUUGUAAAGUCCUUUCGGCGGGGAAGAUAGUGACGGUACCCGCAGAGGAAGCCCCGGCUAACUUCGUGCCAGCAGCCGCGGUAAUACGAAGGGGGCUAGCGUUGCUCGGAAUCACUGGGCGUAAAGCGCACGUAGGCGGCUUUUAAGUCAGGGGUGAAAUCCUGGAGCUCAACUCCAGAACUGCCUUUGAUACUGAGAAGCUUGAGUCCGGGAGAGGUGAGUGGAACUGCGAGUGUAGAGGUGAAAUUCGUAGAUAUUCGCAAGAACACCAGUGGCGAAGGCGGCUCACUGGCCCGGUACUGACGCUGAGGUGCGAAAGCGUGGGGAGCAAACAGGAUUAGAUACCCAAGUAGUCCCUGAGCGGGCUGGCAAGGCGCAU
This 446-nucleotide ribosomal RNA is filed under the name uncultured bacterium. Its description in RNAcentral is "bacterial SSU rRNA". It matches the Rfam family "Bacterial small subunit ribosomal RNA", at positions 355 to 825 of the family's 1533-position model. The record is from RNAcentral.